This 702-nucleotide long non-coding RNA is filed under the name Helianthus annuus (common sunflower). Its description in RNAcentral is "hypothetical non coding rna". Lineage: Eukaryota; Viridiplantae; Streptophyta; Magnoliopsida; Asterales; Asteraceae. The record is from RNAcentral.
UUAGGGGUAAAUAUGCAGCAAAUUCAAAGUAAAAUAUCAUAAAUUGCAUACCUAAUCAGCAAUCGGAUGAAAUUAGGGCUAAAUCGGAACAAUUGAUGUGUGGAUAGUAGUUAGUUAGAGUUUGAUCGGAUGAGUAGAUCCGGUUGUUUGCAUACUUUUUAUUGAGAUCGCCGCGAUAUCCGGCGUGAUCGCCGCCGUAGUCUCCGGUGAGGUGUGUUGGAUGAAGUGAAAGGGUUGAAGGUAAAAUAUGAUCCGCACAGUGUAGUGAGAUGAUAUUGUUGUGAAAUGUAUGUAUGGCCUACCAGACCACUUAUGUAAAUCAUUACAUAUAUGUCGCGUGCUUAUGUGUGUGAUUAAAGUUGUUAACGUAUUAUUUGGGUCAUAGAGAUGUUGAUAAACCGUUGAUUGAACCUUGACAGAACGGAAGAAAGUUGGCUGAUUUGGCCGGUCUGUUAACGGUUUAAGGUUUGGUUUACGGUUUAAAAUUUGAAACCGGUCAUGGAACAAACUAGACCAACUAGUUAAUAAUUAUGAGCAAUUCAUACUUUUUUUUUUAAUUUGAUAUAAAAGUAUGCUUUUUAGAAAAUAAAAUAUGUUGGUCUAAAAGUGUAAAUCCCACAAAUCGAACUCUAAAACUGUUAAACCAUUAAAAUCAAGGGAGUUUUAUAUAUUUCACCCUCCUAAGCUGUCUUAUUAUGUAUU